This 390-nucleotide ribosomal RNA is filed under the name Chrysamoeba tenera. RNAcentral's name for it is "partial small subunit ribosomal RNA". It matches the Rfam family "Eukaryotic small subunit ribosomal RNA", at positions 30 to 432 of the family's 1831-position model. The record is from RNAcentral. Lineage: Eukaryota; Chrysophyceae; Chromulinales; Chrysoamoebidaceae.
GCUUGUCUCAAAGAUUAAGCCAUGCAUGUCUAAGUAUAAAUGGUAUACAGUGAAACUGCGAAUGGCUCAUUAAAACAGUUAUAGUUUAUUUGGUAUUCGAAUUUACAUGGAUAACCGUGGUAAUUCUAGAGCUAAUACAUGCAUCAAACCCCGACUCACGAAGGGGUGUAUUUAUUAGAUGGAAACCAAUGCGGGGCAACCCGGAUUAUGGUGAUUCAUAAUAACUUUCAGAUCGAUCGCAAGAUCGAUGCAUCAUUCAAGUUUCUGCCCUAUCAGCUUUGGAUGGUAGGGUAUUGGCCUACCAUGGCUUUAACGGGUAACGGAGAAUUAGGGUUCGAUUCCGGAGAGGGAGCCUGAGAAACGGCUACCACAUCCAAGGAAGGCAGCAGG